Molecule: ribosomal RNA, 1435 nt
Filed under: uncultured organism
Description: SSU rRNA
Rfam family: Bacterial small subunit ribosomal RNA
Source: RNAcentral
CUUAACACAUGCAAGUCGAGGGGCAGCAUGGUCUUAUCUUGCUAAGGCCGAUGGCGACCGGCGCACGGGUGAGUAACACGUAUCCAACCUGCCGUCUACUCUUGGACAGCCUUCUGAAAGGAAGAUUAAUACAAGAUGGCAUCAUGAGUCCACAUGUUCACAUGAUUAAAGGUAUUCCGGUAGACGAUGGGGAUGCGUUCCAUUAGAUAGUAGGCGGGGUAACGGCCCACCUAGUCUUCGAUGGAUAGGGGUUCUGAGAGGAAGGUCCCCCACAUUGGAACUGAGACACGGUCCAAACUCCUACGGGAGGCAGCAGUGAGGAAUAUUGGUCAAUGGGCGAGAGCCUGAACCAGCCAAGUAGCGUGAAGGAUGACUGCCCUAUGGGUUGUAAACUUCUUUUAUAAAGGAAUAAAGUCGGGUAUGGAUACCCGUUUGCAUGUACUUUAUGAAUAAGGAUCGGCUAACUCCGUGCCAGCAGCCGCGGUAAUACGGAGGAUCCGAGCGUUAUCCGGAUUUAUUGGGUUUAAAGGGAGCGUAGAUGGAUGUUUAAGUCAGUUGUGAAAGUUUGCGGCUCAACCGUAAAAUUGCAGUUGAUACUGGAUAUCUUGAGUGCAGUUGAGGCAGGCGGAAUUCGUGGUGUAGCGGUGAAAUGCUUAGAUAUCACGAAGAACUCCGAUUGCGAAGGCAGCCUGCUAAGCUGCAACUGACAUUGAGGCUCGAAAGUGUGGGUAUCAAACAGGAUUAGAUACCCUGGUAGUCCACACGGUAAACGAUGAAUACUCGCUGUUUGCGAUAUACAGCAAGCGGCCAAGCGAAAGCGUUAAGUAUUCCACCUGGGGAGUACGCCGGCAACGGUGAAACUCAAAGGAAUUGACGGGGGCCCGCACAAGCGGAGGAACAUGUGGUUUAAUUCGAUGAUACGCGAGGAACCUUACCCGGGCUUAAAUUGCAGAUGAAUUACGGUGAAAGCCGUAAGCCGCAAGGCAUCUGUGAAGGUGCUGCAUGGUUGUCGUCAGCUCGUGCCGUGAGGUGUCGGCUUAAGUGCCAUAACGAGCGCAACCCUUGUUGUCAGUUACUAACAGGUUCCGCUGAGGACUCUGACAAGACUGCCAUCGUAAGAUGUGAGGAAGGUGGGGAUGACGUCAAAUCAGCACGGCCCUUACGUCCGGGGCUACACACGUGUUACAAUGGGGGGUACAGAGGGCCGCUACCACGCGAGUGGAUGCCAAUCCCAAAAACCUCUCUCAGUUCGGACUGGAGUCUGCAACCCGACUCCACGAAGCUGGAUUCGCUAGUAAUCGCGCAUCAGCCACGGCGCGGUGAAUACGUUCCCGGGCCUUGUACACACCGCCCGUCAAGCCAUGGGAGCCGGGGGUACCUGAAGUGCGUAACCGCGAGGAGCGCCCUAGGGUAAAACUGGUGACUGGGGCUAAGA